GUCUCAUGAGAUGGGCUCCGAGAGCACUAAUAAAUGCAUUCCAAAGCAACAGUUUUAGUAUCCAAGUCACAAACGCCCUGAACCACAGUGUGUGGCCUCAGACCCACCACUUUGUACCCUCGGUUGGGACUCAGAAACACAGCUUGAGAAAGGAACUUCUCACUGCCAAGGAGCGUCUGGACUGGAGUAAAUAUAAUGGAGUCCUGGGUCUGAGAGAACAUCUUAUUGUUCUGUACUCACCCUUCUUGUGAUGAUGUGAGAUGACACGAUGCCUAAGUGAUGAGCUGAAGUGAGGGGUGCCUGGCAGGCUGUGGAGCUUCAGGGCGGGAGGAGAUAUGACACUGCUCUAUGCUGGUCACAGCUGCUGAAGCUAUUUUCACCUCAUGAAGCCUCUGGGAUGCCU
Molecule: long non-coding RNA, 403 nt
Organism: Eptesicus fuscus (big brown bat)
Lineage: Eukaryota; Metazoa; Chordata; Mammalia; Chiroptera; Vespertilionidae
Exons: 4
Source: RefSeq, a predicted model, not a curated record